Molecule: ribosomal RNA, 251 nt
Filed under: uncultured bacterium
Lineage: Bacteria
Description: partial 16S ribosomal RNA
Rfam family: Bacterial small subunit ribosomal RNA
Source: RNAcentral
GUCCACGCCGUAACGAUGGAUACUAGCUGUUGGGCGCAAGUUCAGUGGCUAAGCGAAAGUGAUAAGUAUCCCACCUGGGGAGUACGUUCGCAAGAAUGAACUCAAAGGAAUUGACGGGCCCGCACAAGCGGUGGAGCAUGUGGUUUAAUUCGAUGAUACGCGAGGAACCUUACCAAGGCUUAAAAUGUAGAUUGACAGGACUGGAAACAGUUUUUCUUCGGACAAUUUACAAGGUGCUGCAUGGUUGUCGU